AUUAGAAACGGCGAUGGAGUUUGCCUAUAACUGCUUACAAAAAUUGAGGCUGAUAACUCCUGCUAAAGG
Molecule: non-coding RNA, 69 nt
Filed under: Candidatus Schekmaniibacteriota
Lineage: Bacteria
Description: Candidatus Schekmanbacteria Fluoride sequence
Rfam family: Fluoride riboswitch aptamer (crcB RNA motif)
Source: RNAcentral